Molecule: ribosomal RNA, 440 nt
Filed under: uncultured bacterium
Lineage: Bacteria
Description: partial 16S ribosomal RNA
Rfam family: Bacterial small subunit ribosomal RNA
Source: RNAcentral
CCUACGGGAGGCUGCAGUAGGGAAUAUUGCUCAAUGGGGGAAACCCUGAAGCAGCAACGCCGCGUGGAGGAUGAAGGUUUUAUGAUUGUAAACCCCUUUUUUUAGAGAAGAUAAUGACGGUAUCUCUCUCAUAAGCACCGUCUAACUCCGUGCCAGCAGCCGCGGUAAUGCGGAGGCUGCAAGCGUUACUCGGAAUCACUGGGCGUAAAGAGUGCUCAGUGGGGCUUGUAAGUCAGAUGUGAAAUCCUGUAGCUUAACUACAGAACUGCAUUUGAAACUAUGAGUCUAGAGUGUGGGAGAGGUAGGUGGAAUUCUUGGUGUAGGGGUGAAAUGCGUAGAUAUCAAGCAGAACACUGAUUGCGAAGGCAGCAUACUGGAACAUAACUGACGCUCAUGCACGAAAGCGUGGGGAGCAAACAGGAUUAGAUACCCUGGUAGUC